AAGCCAAUCCAAUUUCCUCCAUUUCCAAAGUAUCUUAUGCCAUUCCAUAAGGUGUAUCAACAACCGCAUAAGUCGUUCGUAGACAUUAUUGGCAUAGUUCUUCAUUUAGAGCCAUUAAAGCAUAUCGGUGGAAGGCCGUAUAGAGAGGCUGUACUAAUGGAUUCCAGGUGGGAUCUAAUCGUCGUGGGGGUAUGGACU
Molecule: long non-coding RNA, 198 nt
Organism: Zea mays
Lineage: Eukaryota; Viridiplantae; Streptophyta; Magnoliopsida; Poales; Poaceae
Exons: 3
Source: RefSeq, a predicted model, not a curated record